AAUGAACGCUGGCGGCAGGCCUAACACAUGCAAGUCGAACGGAUCCUUCGGGAUUAGUGGCGGACGGGUGAGUAACGCGUGGGAACAUACCCAAAGGUACGGAAUAGCCUCGGGAAACUGGGAGUAAUACCGUAUGUGCUCGAAAGAGGAAAGAUUUAUCGCCAAAGGAUUGGCCCGCGUUGGAUCAGGUAGUUGGUGGGGUAAUGGCCUACCAAGCCGACGAUCCAUAGCUGGUUUGAGAGGAUGAUCAGCCACACUGGGACUGAGACACGGCCCAGACUCCUACGGGAGGCAGCAGUGGGGAAUCUUAGACAAUGGGGGAAACCCUGAUCUAGCCAUGCCGCGUGAUCGAUGAAGGCCUUAGGGUUGUAAAGAUCUUUCAGGUGGGAAGAUAAUGACUGUACCACCAGAAGAAGCCCCGGCUAACUCCGUGCCAGCAGCCGCCGUAA
RNAcentral lists this ribosomal RNA (449 nucleotides) under uncultured bacterium. RNAcentral describes it as "partial 16S ribosomal RNA". It matches the Rfam family "Bacterial small subunit ribosomal RNA", at positions 29 to 523 of the family's 1533-position model. The record is from RNAcentral.